Molecule: ribosomal RNA, 540 nt
Filed under: uncultured bacterium
Lineage: Bacteria
Description: bacterial SSU rRNA
Rfam family: Bacterial small subunit ribosomal RNA
Source: RNAcentral
UACGGGAGGCGGCAGUGGGGAAUAUUGGACAAUGGGCGAAAGCCUGAUCCAGCGACGCCGCGUGGGUGAAGAAGGCCUGCGGGUUGUAAAGCCCUUUCGGUUGGGAAGAAAUGCGUUGACCUAACACGUCAGCGUCUUGACGUAACCAACAAAAGAAGCACCGGCUAACUCUGUGCCAGCAGCCGCGGUAAUACAGAGGGUGCAAGCGUUAAUCGGAAUUACUGGGCGUAAAGCGCACGUAGGCGGCUUGACCAGUCGAGUGUGAAAUCCCCGGGCUUAACCUGGGAGCUGCAUUCGAAACUGUCUUGCUAGAGUAUGGGAGAGGGAAGUGGAAUUUCAGGUGUAGCGGUGAAAUGCGUAGAUAUCUGAAGGAACAUCAGUGGCGAAAGCGACUUCCUGGACCAAUACUGACGCUCAGGUGCGAAAGCGUGGGGAGCAAACAGGAUUAGAUACCCUGGUAGUCCACGCCAUAAACGAUGAGAACUGGAUGUUGGGAGGGUUAGCCUCUCGGUGUCGUAGCUAACGCGUUAAGUUCUCCGC